RNAcentral lists this ribosomal RNA (847 nucleotides) under Sclerotinia sclerotiorum. RNAcentral describes it as "LSU rRNA". It matches the Rfam family "Eukaryotic large subunit ribosomal RNA", at positions 68 to 932 of the family's 3401-position model. The record is from RNAcentral. Lineage: Eukaryota; Fungi; Ascomycota; Leotiomycetes; Helotiales; Sclerotiniaceae.
ACAGGGAUUACCUCAGUAACGGCGAGUGAAGCGGUAAAAGCUCAAAUUUGAAAUCUGGCUCUUUCAGAGUCCGAGUUGUAAUUUGUAGAAGAUGCUUCGGGUGUGGUUCCGGUCUAAGUUCCUUGGAACAGGACGUCAUAGAGGGUGAGAAUCCCGUAUGUGACUGGAUACCUAUGCUCAUGUGAAGCUCUUUCGACGAGUCGAGUUGUUUGGGAAUGCAGCUCAAAAUGGGUGGUAUAUUUCAUCUAAAGCUAAAUAUUGGCCAGAGACCGAUAGCGCACAAGUAGAGUGAUCGAAAGAUGAAAAGCACUUUGGAAAGAGAGUUAAACAGUACGUGAAAUUGUUGAAAGGGAAGCGCUUGCAAUCAGACUUGCACUUGGUGUUCAUCAGGGUUUCGUGCCCUGUGUACUUCAUCAAGUUCAGGCCAGCAUCAGUUUGAGUGGUUAGAUAAAGGCUUGGAGAAUGUGGCCCUCUUCGGGGGGUGUUAUAGCUCCAGGUGCAAUGUAGCCUACUUGGACUGAGGACCGCGCUUCGGCUAGGAUGCUGGCGUAAUGGUUGUAAGCGACCCGUCUUGAAACACGGACCAAGGAGUGUACCUAAUAUGCGAGUGUUUGGGUGUUAAACCCAUACGCGUAAUGAAAGUGAACGCUGGUGAGAACCCUUAAGGGUGCAUCAUCGACCGAUCUUGAUGUCUUCGGAUGGAUUUGAGUAAGAGCAUAUUGGGUGCGACCCGAAAGAUGAUGAUCUAUACGUGAAUAGGGUGAAGCCAGAGGAAACUCUGGUGGAGGCUCGCAGCGGUUCUGACGUGCAAAUCGAUCGUCAAAUUUGCGUAUAGGGGCGAAAGACU